Molecule: microRNA precursor, 319 nt
Filed under: Medicago truncatula (barrel medic)
Lineage: Eukaryota; Viridiplantae; Streptophyta; Magnoliopsida; Fabales; Fabaceae
Description: miR2631 stem-loop (mtr-MIR2631)
Source: miRBase by way of RNAcentral
UGUGCCACGUGGACCAAUCAUGACACGCCACGUGGCACACUAGAAGACUAAAUUUUGAGAGUUUGAAGUUAAAAGAUAUUUCGUCCACACUUUUGGUAAAUAAAAUUUAAUUAUUAAAACUGUCAAUGAUAAAAAAAAAUUCUUUUUCUUAAAAAAAAAAAAAACUCAUUUAAUUAUUAAUUUAACAAUUUGGUGUACUGGUACACUCAAAUUUUUGGAUGUACCAUAGAAUUUGCCUUAUUUUAAUUUAUUUAUUUCAAUUAUAAAAUUUUGUUUUUAGUGUGCCACAUGUCGUGUUAUGAUUGUCCACGUGGCACAC